GACGAACGCUGGCGGCGUGCUUAACACAUGCAAGUCGAAUGGAAAGACCCUGCUUUUGUGGGGUGCUCGAGUGGCGAACGGGUGAGUAACACGUGAGUAACCUGCCCUUGACUUUGGGAUAACUUCAGGAAACUGGGGCUAAUACCGGAUAGGAGCUCCUGCUGCAUGGUGGGGGUUGGAAAGUUUCGGCGGUUGGGGAUGGACUCGCGGCUUAUCAGCUUGUUGGUGGGGUAGUGGCUUACCAAGGCUUUGACGGGUAGCCGGCCUGAGAGGGUGACCGGCCACAUUGGGACUGAGAUACGGCCCAGACUCCUACGGGAGGCAGCAGUGGGGAAUAUUGCACAAUGGGCGGAAGCCUGAUGCAGCAACGCCGCGUGCGGGAUGACGGCCUUCGGGUUGUAAACCGCUUUCGCCUGUGACGAAGCGUGAGUGACGGUAAUGGGUAAAGAAGCACCGGCUAACUACGUG
This 468-nucleotide ribosomal RNA is filed under the name uncultured bacterium. RNAcentral's name for it is "partial 16S ribosomal RNA". It matches the Rfam family "Bacterial small subunit ribosomal RNA", at positions 28 to 507 of the family's 1533-position model. The record is from RNAcentral.